AGAAGUACUUUUAUACGUGACUUACACAAUUAAUACACAGGUAGAAGUACUUUGAUAUACAAUUAAUACAUGGUCAGAAGUACUUUGAUACGUGACUUACACAAUUAAUACACAGGUAGAAGUACUUUGAUAUACAAUUAAUACAUGGUCAGAAGUACUUUGAUACGUGACUUACACAAUUAAUAUACGGUUAGAAGUACUUUGAUACAAGACUUACACAAUUAAUACACAGUUAGAAGUACUUUGUUACAAGACUUACACAAUUAAUAUACAGUUAGAAGUACUUUGAUACGAGACUUACACAAUUAAUACACAGUUAGAAGUACUUUGAUACGUGACUUACACAAUUAAUACACAGUUAGAAGUACUUUGAUACGAGACUUACACAAUUAAUACACAGUUAGAAGUACUUUGAUACAAGACUUACACAAUUAAUACAUUGUGUGAUUUUCAUAAUAAAAAUAAUAAUUCAUUAUCUAACUAAGCAGCCUUUUAUUUAAAUAUUUAAUAAACAAAAAUUACCCAUAAGGUUUGAAAUAUACAGUUACAGAAUUCUGGAGUUAAACACUUACUAACUUAAGUGUGUAAUAGUAAAAUUUUACUGUGGCUAGACUGUUGUCACAACUGUGUUUUUUUUUCAUUGUUUUCGUUGAAGAUUUGUACAAGUUCAGUGUUGGACUAUAACAGCCUUGACUGAUUUCAGCUUUAUUGUUCAAUAGCUCAAACUAUUUGUUGUGGAAUUUUAAAUAUGUUUUCAGUUAUUGUUUAUGUACAUUGUAAAUUGUAUGUUAUGUUAAGAAAAUUACAAUUCAUUUUUUCAAUAAAUAUUUACUAAAUUA
Limulus polyphemus (Atlantic horseshoe crab) is the source of this 839-nucleotide long non-coding RNA. RefSeq lists it as uncharacterized. The record is from RefSeq and is a predicted model, not a curated record. The transcript has 2 exons. NCBI's taxonomy places the organism in Eukaryota, Metazoa, Arthropoda, Merostomata, Xiphosura, Limulidae.